This 417-nucleotide ribosomal RNA is filed under the name uncultured Desulfobulbus sp. RNAcentral describes it as "bacterial SSU rRNA". It matches the Rfam family "Bacterial small subunit ribosomal RNA", at positions 973 to 1382 of the family's 1533-position model. Lineage: Bacteria; Pseudomonadati; Thermodesulfobacteriota; Desulfobulbia; Desulfobulbales; Desulfobulbaceae. The record is from RNAcentral.
ACCUGGUCUUGACAUCCCGGAGACCCUUAGGAAACUAAGGGGGUGGCUUCCAUCUGGAAGAAUCUGGAGACAGGUGCUGCAUGGCUGUCGUCAGCUCGUGUCGUGAGAUGUUGGGUUAAGUCCCGCAACGAGCGCAACCCUUGCCUUUAGUUGCCAGCAGUUCGGCUGGGCACUCUAAAGGGACUGCCGGUGUUAAACCGGAGGAAGGUGGGGAUGACGUCAAGUCCUCAUGGCCUUUAUGACCAGGGCUACACACGUACUACAAUGGCCGAUACAAAGGGCAGCGACACUGCGAGGUGAAGCCAAUCCCGUAAAAUCGGUCUCAGUCCGGAUUGGAGUCUGCAACUCGACUCCAUGAAGUUGGAAUCGCUAGUAAUCGUGGAUCAGCAUGCCACGGUGAAUACGUUCCCGGGCCUU